Long non-coding RNA from Megalobrama amblycephala (Wuchang bream), 618 nucleotides. RefSeq lists it as uncharacterized. Lineage: Eukaryota; Metazoa; Chordata; Actinopteri; Cypriniformes; Xenocyprididae. The record is from RefSeq and is a predicted model, not a curated record. The transcript has 3 exons.
CUUUUUUCACUUGCCAUGGAUACACGCAUGGAUGAGCCGCUGGAGGACAUGUAGCUGCUGCGGGAGGAGUAGGAUGAAGCCAUGUUAACCGAGACUUUCUGUCUGUGUCUGUCUGACAGGCUGCCAAAAUUCUAAGUAAACAAUUUUAGAAAAACAUCCUGUGAAGAGAAUCCGGUAGCACAGCAAUCAUCAUGAAGAGAGAUGCUAUAAACAUCACACAGCAAGUCAGGUUUGGAGUGACAUGAGGGUGAGUAAAUAAUGAUUUUUGUAUGAACUAUACCUUUCAGUGCAAAUCUACUCAUUUGACGUUGGUAGCCUGACAACUUCAUGGAGUAACGAUUCUUUGUUUCAGACAGUGUGGCCUCCAUAGAUGUUGUUGACCUAGAGUAUAAUGUUUGUCUAGUAUGUGUGAUUUUAAAACUAUUUGACAGAGUGAAGACAGUCAGCUUUAUUUGAGAAGCAGUGAUUUGAAAACAUUAUACUGUUUUUAAUAGGAUGCAAAUUAUUUCCUACCUGGAUUUAAUUGAGGAUGUUGUUGGAUUAGGAUUGGAUAUGUUUAAUUAUAUGCAUGAAAAUGAAAAUUAUCCCAUGAUUUACUCACCCUCAAGCCAUCCUAGG